Molecule: transfer RNA, 52 nt
Filed under: Varanus gilleni
Lineage: Eukaryota; Metazoa; Chordata; Lepidosauria; Squamata; Varanidae
Description: tRNA-Cys
Source: RNAcentral
GGCUCAGACUUAGUUGGACUGCAACUCCAAUUUUGGGUUUUCCCCUGGGCUU